This 125-nucleotide small nucleolar RNA is filed under the name Echinops telfairi (small Madagascar hedgehog). RNAcentral describes it as "Small nucleolar RNA SNORA61 (ENSETEG00000025214.1)". Lineage: Eukaryota; Metazoa; Chordata; Mammalia; Afrosoricida; Tenrecidae. The record is from RNAcentral.
CCCCUCCAGAUUCCACGAAUCCCCCUCAGAUUCAAAUGUUGAUCUGAGUGGCUAAAAUAGGAGGAAAUGUAUAACUGACAUGCACUUGGUGUCUUUCAUAAUGUAUAAAUUCAUUUCAAACAUAU